GGACAGAACUCUGGAAAGUUUUUUCAAUAAACACCGAAGGGGCAAUUUCCCAUGCUGGAAAAAAUCUCUCAGGUAAAAAGACAGAGUAGGAAAA
Molecule: non-coding RNA, 94 nt
Filed under: Atribacterota
Lineage: Bacteria; Pseudomonadati
Description: Candidatus Atribacteria Glycine sequence
Rfam family: Glycine riboswitch aptamer
About the family: This family represents the bacterial glycine riboswitch.
Source: RNAcentral